AUUAUUCUAUUGAACUGUUAUGUAUUGUACACACACAAACAUAUGGAGGACCAAAUCUGCAGUAAUUAUAGAUAAAUGCACAAAUAAAUAGAUGAAUAAAUAAAUGGAUGAAUGAAUGCACACAAAUAGAUAAAUCAUUAUUUUAAUAAUUAAUCCCACUCUCAUUUUAUUAAUUUAUAUUAUUUCUUAAUUUAUUUAUUUCUGUACGUCUUCCUUCAAUAUGAUAAUGAGGUGUCAAUCAAACGUAUGUGGGUGGUAUCUAACACACCAAUGGUGAAUCAAUGCCAAAGCACCUUGCAUGAUUGCAGUUGCCUGGGCUGCGUUCAGUAUAACCGAUUAGCCCCCCUCAUCAGCCAAUAAUGUGCAGUGCAUAUAGCUAUGUAUUAAUAUUAUAUGUCACCGUUUUUGGGGUAGAAAUCAGUUAUAUGCAGCUGUACCGCAGGCGCACCAUAAAAACAUUGCUCUUCCUUGAUUUAGAAGCAGGUGAACAAUUUUACAACACUGAUCCAUUGACUGCGUUACUUUUGACAAUAAGCCACCGGACUACAGUCAUAUCGUUUUGAACCUAGAAGAAGGAGUUGACCGGGAUUGCCCAGAAAACCAUGUUACUGUAAACGAACGUUACUGACCUGGUGGAGGCAGGACAUUUUUCUACAUCUACGUUGAGGCUUGUUACCAGCGGGAACAUGGAGCACUCUGUCAUCUCUCUCCAGGUGCUACAGAGACAGAAUGGUCCUCCGAGCCUUCUGACCAACUACCUGUGAUUUCUCCAGAGCACAGAGAAAGAGAUGGAACCAGCAAGAAAAGGGGGAAGAUAAACUAUCUCUGGACAAUGGCUACGGAGAGCGAGGUGCUAUCAAAGAAGAUCCAUUAAGACGGUGACGAAUAUGUGAUUGUUGUUAUAGUUUGAAGAUAAUCGUAAUGUGAUCCUGUGUCAUCUAAAGAAGAUGUAUGUUGUUCCUUUGGAGAUUGUCAUUGACUGUGUUGGAGUGUUUGUAUUGUCAGAAAUCCCUCAAUAGAGAACUGUGUUGAAUCAAGAAAACCUACUCUGGACUCGUUUAUUCCACCUUUCCACUUUAGAGUGACACCAAAUGACUUGGUCCGCUCACACAAAACUAACAUGUGUCCAUCCCCCUAAUCUCCAGGUGAGUCUGCUGGGCCAUGGAACUCUAGAGCAGUACAUCCAAAAAACCUUCCACCCUGUUGUCAGCUAUCUGCAGAUAGUUCCCUGAUGGAUGCAACUAUCAAGGCUUUCAAAGGCCACGU
Non-coding RNA from Salmo salar (Atlantic salmon), 1266 nucleotides. NCBI's taxonomy places the organism in Eukaryota, Metazoa, Chordata, Actinopteri, Salmoniformes, Salmonidae. The record is from RefSeq and is a predicted model, not a curated record.